UACGUAGGUGGCAAGCGUUAUCCGGAAUUAUUGGGCGUAAAGCGCUCGCAGGCGGUUUCUUAAGUCUGAUGUGAAAGCCCACGGCUCAACCGUGGAGGGUCAUUGGAAACUGGGAGGCUUGAGUGCAGAAGAGGAGAGUGGAAUUCCACGUGUAGCGGUGAAAUGCGUAGAGAUGUGGAGGAACACCAGUGGCGAAGGCGACUCUCUGGUCUGUAACUGACGCUGAGGAGCGAAAGCGUGGGGAGCAAACAGG
This 253-nucleotide ribosomal RNA is filed under the name uncultured bacterium. RNAcentral describes it as "partial 16S ribosomal RNA". It matches the Rfam family "Bacterial small subunit ribosomal RNA", at positions 524 to 776 of the family's 1533-position model. The record is from RNAcentral.